Molecule: long non-coding RNA, 1267 nt
Organism: Leopardus geoffroyi (Geoffroy's cat)
Lineage: Eukaryota; Metazoa; Chordata; Mammalia; Carnivora; Felidae
Exons: 2
Source: RefSeq, a predicted model, not a curated record
CGCUUGAUUUUGUAUAAACCCUGCAUAUCAGAUUGGGUACCUACCCAUGGACAGCGAAUGAGGAAGAAGAUGCCUCCGACUUGGGGCAGCUCAGUAGAUCACCAGGCAGAGACCAGCAAUUAUCAGGUCUCUGCACGGGGCGUCUAGAAGACAGGCAAAUUCACGAAGCCCGGCCAAAGGGUGCGAAUUUACGCGCUGGCCUUUUCAACUGGUCUUCAAAACUGAUUAGACGUUUGAAAAUGACACUCCUCCACAUUUCGUUUGUUCCCGAUAAUUCUCACUCCUUGAACUGUCCAGGCAGCUCAACAGAGAAGGGUAGAGAAGGUGAAGAAAACUACCAUCAUCGGUAGAUGCACGCUGUUCCCCUGCACAGGCGAAAAGGGAGAGAAGGGCAGAGCCACGUGGAUUCAAUUGGCUGUCUUAUGCUGGGUCUCACCAGGCUUGAUGUUUUCGGUUUACAUCUGCAAUACCCGGAAUACAGCAGAUCCCCCCUUAUCCACCGAGGAUACGUUUUAGGACCCUGAGUGGGUGCCUGAAAUGGUGGCGAGCAAAAUCACAGAGAGAAGACAGACUUCUUUAUUAUGUGCAGAAUAACACUUUAAUGGACUUUUUCUUUAUGAAACUCAUAAAUCCCAGAUCAUCUUCUGGAAUAAAGAAUCUAAAUGUUUUCCAUAACUAAAAUGUCUUCACUGAGGGCAGAAUUGCAAAUCUCAGAUGAUUUUCUUCUAGAAACAACUUUUUUCCGCCCUUCUAUGGAAGCCUCGGAAAAGACCCAUUUGGACUCCAAGUUGGGAAGACAUGGCCCUUUGGAAGCUGGGUUGGCCUUUUCAUCAUGACCGUGGGACAGGGCCUACGGAGAACGGUGUCCAAUGGAAACCCGAGGAAGUCUUGGUGCAUUGGCUCCAAGAGCAGCCGAAGCUUCUGUUAUCCCCACGCUUUCACCAAAACCUUGUUAAUUAUUACAAUCUAUAUUUAGCAUUAAGGAAUGGUCCAGGGUUCAAGCUUGAGCAGAGCAGUUCUGGAAACAACAGAAACCCCGGAAAAGCUAGAGUCCAGGCCAUGCGGGUGACUGGACGUGGGCCAGAGGAGCAGACAAGAACCAGACGGUGUCAUUUGGGGCAUCAUAGAAUACAGGCCUUGGACCACUGUCUUCAAGGUGUUAUUGAGCAUGUGACUCAUGUAGGCUAGAGGGGUCUGGGGCACUUGGGUGUCAGGCAAAUUUACCUAGCAAUUCCUUAUGCUUUUAUAUGCAUGGCAUCCCACCCUG